This is a long non-coding RNA of Acinonyx jubatus (cheetah), 3364 nucleotides long. RefSeq lists it as uncharacterized. The transcript is spliced from 3 exons. The record is from RefSeq and is a predicted model, not a curated record. Lineage: Eukaryota; Metazoa; Chordata; Mammalia; Carnivora; Felidae.
AGGCAGUUCACAUGACCAAAUCGAGCUGUAAAUUUAAGCCUUUUGGACCAUCUUGUACAAUCAGCGCUGAAUUACAAAAUGAUUACAAAAUUUGAAAAAAGAAAGUACUGUCAAAAAUGAAAUUAAACAGGUAUCAUCUGAAGUUCAUGACUCAAGGCAAAGAAGUGCAGGGUAUUAUCCACAUUGUGGAGAUGCACACCAUAAACAAACUCACAUUUGGCUCUGAGACCUGGAACUGGGGGUGGGGAGAGGGAGACGCCGCUUCUGCCGCUGCCCUUUGCUUUGUCAUCCUGGCGGGACAUUUUCUCCCCGCCGCCCGGCAGGUGCCUAGAAGUCCCCGCCCCUUCCGUCCUGAAUCUCCCGGAAGUGCUCACACCUUCCCUGGCGGGCCGUCACCUGCCUCUUCCUGAGCUGCGAACCCUUCUGAUGUCUCCUGGCCCUGCGGGACCCGGGAGCUUCCGCGGCGAACGCCCCCUCCGCGGACACCUAUUCUCUCCCAUUCUGGAAGUCUGAGGUCAAGGGUGUGGGCAGGGCUGGUUCCUCCGGAGCCUGUCUCCUGGGCGUGCAGACGCCGCCUUCUCCCCGUGUGAGCGCAGCCCUUUGUCUCUCCCGCUUCUUAGAAGGACACCAGUCGGAUUGGGUUCAGGCCUGCCAUAGACUGAAUGUUCGUGUUUCCCCCCCACCCCUGUCCCCCAAAAACCGUGUAUGUUGAACCCCACCGCGAGGGUAUUAGGAGGUGACGGGACGCGUGCCCUCAGAAGAAGAGACACAAAACAGCGUGUUCCCUACCCGCCCCCCACCAUGUGCGGGGGGCAGGAAAAGAUCUCCCACCAGGCCUGGGCCUUAUCUUGGGCCUCCGGCCUCCAGAACUAUGAGACGUAAAUGCGUGUGGUUUGAGCCAGGGCCCCCUUCUUAAAGGAAACGAUUUCUCUGACACUGGAUCAAAUGGGAAGAAAGGUUUCUUGUUUUUAAUAUUCAGUAAUCUCUAUGCCGAACAUGGGGCUUGAACUCCCACUCGCCAGACCCCAAGAUCAAGAGUCUCUCUACCGACUGAGCCAGCCAGACGCCCUGCGCCUUCCAGCAGGAGGCACCCCCCCCAACCCCCACUGGGGCCAAUCCUGAGGAAACAACGUCUCCCGAACCAGGGACAUUCUAUAAAACGUCUGGCCUGCACACUUCAAAGACACCCACGUCUCAGUCCCACAAAUGGCUCUAGGGCACGGCCACUGGGUGCGGCGAGGUCCGGGAUUUUGCUGUGACAGGCAAACCGAGUGAGGUCUGUUGAUCAGGUCAUGGAUUUGUAUCAAUGGGGUGCCUGGGUGGUUCAGUCGUCGGUUGAGCAUCCAACUUCGGCUCAGGUCAUGAUCUUGUGGUUCGUGAGUUCAGGCCCCACCUCAGGCUUACUGCUGUCAGCACAGAGCCUGCUUCCUGCUUCCGAUCCUCUGUCCCCCCCCCCCCCGCCCCUCCCCUGCCUGCACUCUCUCUCUCAAAAAUAAACAUUUAAAAAAAACACUCAACAUUCUAAAAAGACAAUUUUUUUAAAGCAGUUUUAGCUUAACGUCUUGAUUUUGGCAGUUGUACUAUGGUUAUGGAAAACAGUUCUUUGUUUUUCAGAAAUAGACACUGAAGUCGCCAGGGGUAACGGGAAACUGUCUGCAGCUUAAUCGUAACCAUUCAGAAAAACCAGACAGUUAGAUGAUAGAUAAGUGGCACAGACUUAGAUUCAUAUUAGAGAGAGACAGGGACAGAGACAGAAGUAUGAAGAAAAUACAAUAAAAGUUUAAUAUUUGGGGGCACCCGACUGGCUCAGUUGGUAGAGCGGGCAACUCUUUUUUUUUUUUUUUUUUAGUUAAGUUUAUUUAUUGGCGGGGGAGGGGCAGAGAGAGAGGAAGAGAGAGAAUCCCAAGCAGACUCCCUGCCGUCAGCGCAGAGCCCGAUGUAGGGCUCCACCUCACGAACCAUGAGAUCAUGACCUGAGCCAAAAUCAAGCCAGACUCUCAACCAACUCUUAAUCUUGGGGUCGUGAGUUCAAGCCCCAUGUUGGGUGUAGAGAUUAUUUAAAAAUAAAUUUUUUUAAAAAAAGUUAAAAUUUUGAAAAUCUGAAUGAAGGGCAUCUGGGAAUAUUCUUGCCACUUUUCUGACAGUCUAAAAUUAUGUUAAAAUUUAAAAAAAUGUUUUUAAUUAACUCUUUUUAAUGUUUAUUCUUUGAGAGAGAGAAAGAGAGAGAAUGAGCAGGGAAGGGGCAGAGAGAGGGAGACAUAGAAUCCAAAGCAGGCUCCAGGCUCCAAUCUGUCAGCACAGAGCCCGUCGCGGGGCUCGAACCCACGAAAUGCAAGAUCAUGACCUGAGCUGAAGUCGGACGCUCAACCGACUGAGCCACCCAGAGGCCCACCCCCCAAAAUUUUUAGUACUUGGACCUCAUAGCAAAUUACCACAAACUCAGAUGGCUUAAAACAACACAAAUUUCUUGUCUCUCACUCCUGGAGGCUAGAAGUCUGAAAUCAAGGUGCCCGAAAGCCCACGCUCUCUCUGCAGGCUCUGGGGGAGGGUCCUUCCUGCGGCCUCCAGCUCCUGGGGGCUGCGCGGUCCCUCAUCUUGUGCCAGAAUGACUUUAAUCUCUGCCUCUGUCUUCACAGAGCCUUCUGUCUGUGAAUGUGCCCAAAUUUGUCUCUUCUUACAAGGACACGGGUCAUAUUGGAUUUAGCACGGCCCCUUCUCCUUACCCAGUACAACCUCUUAAGUUGGUUAUAUACUCAGAGAGGCUAUUUCCAAAUAAGAUCAUAGUUACAGAUUGCAGGCGUUAAUAAAAGUUGAAUGUUUGGGAAUCUGGGUGAGUAUCUGGGAAUUCUUCUAUUCUUGGCACUUUUAUGACAGUCAGAAAUUAUGCCAAGAUAAAAUAAUUCAGAGCAUGAUCAAAAACUCCCUAGUUUGAAACCUUCCGAGGGCCCUGCAGCACGAGGCAGUAAGUUGCAGCAGAAAGUUCCGUCCUGGCCGGCCUGCAAGCCCUGGGACUCCGCCUCCCCUUCCCCCCUCUGGCCACUCCUGUCCCUCGCUCUGGCCACUGCCCUUUCCUCCAGUUUUUCUCACCCCUGACUUGUUCCUGCCCCAGGCAUUUGCAGUGGUUGUUUUCAGCCCAGAACAUUCCUCCUUGAGAAUAAGAUGUGGCUCCUCAGGUCAAAUGUCACCUGUCCAGAGAGACUCGACCCCCUGACCUAAUGCUAGCUCCUGUUCCCGUCUUUAUCCGUCUUCACAUUUGUUCUCACUAGUGGAAAUCCUAUCACAAAAUGAUGUCUCGUUGAGCCCCCUCCCCUAGAAUAGAAACCCUCCAGGGACAGAGGCCCUAUUGGAGUUUCCGGUUUUUUCC